RNAcentral lists this ribosomal RNA (495 nucleotides) under uncultured bacterium. RNAcentral describes it as "bacterial SSU rRNA". It matches the Rfam family "Bacterial small subunit ribosomal RNA", at positions 28 to 507 of the family's 1533-position model. The record is from RNAcentral.
GAUGAACGCUAGCGGCAGGCUUAAUACAUGCAAGUUGAGGGGCAGCAUGAUAUACGCGAGUAUAUUGAUGGCGACCGGCGGACGGGUGAGUAAUAGGUAGGAGACCUACCUCAUACAGGGGGAUAGCAUAGAGAAAUCUGUGGUAAUACCCCAUGAGGUUAUAUGAAUAGAGGCAUAUAAUCAAAGUAUAAGCGAUUAUGCGGUAUGAGAGGGGCCUACUGACCAUUAGCUAGUUGGUGAGGUAAGGGCUCACCAAGGCGAAGAUGGUUAGGGGUUUUGAGAGAGAGACCCCCCACAUUGGAACUGAGAGACGGUCCAGACUCCUACGGGAGGCAGCAGUAGGGAAUAUUGGGCAAUGGGCGAAAGCCUGACCCAGCCAUGCCGCGUGAAGGAAGACGGCCUUAUGGGUUGUAAACUUCUUUACUACGCGAAUAGAGGUUAGUACGAGAUACUAAUAGGAAGGUAGUGUAGUAAAAAGCACCGGCUAACUCCGUG